AAUUCUAGAACAAAUUGGCUAUACAUAUCGAUGAACUAUAGCAUUGUGAAACGUUCAUCGCAGCGCUCUAAGCCCAAAUAGCGUUCUGUGCUGUUCUAAGAAACGAAGGCCUUAUUCACCGAUUUUAACUUUUUUUGAACUGCUGUUAGCAUUAAAGAGCUGCAAUCAAAGCCAAGUUAAGUGAAGGCCACACUGUAGCGAGACGUCUUAACUGUGAAAGAAACAUAUAAGAUGAGUUUAAAAUUCGACCAAGUGGAAUUGAUUCCCAAAUAUGCGUACAGUUAAUUUAAAGGUUUUCAGUAAAUAUUAAACAGUUUUUAAAAGAGAACGUAGAAAGUCAUUCCAUGAAGCAAAAUAUUUAAUUAUUAUAUAUUAGACUGAGGAGAUUUUGUGUGCCAUAGAUAUUAAAUACGCUUUAAUUGGAUAGUAGCGCAAAUCCAAGCAAUUUUGCAGAGUAAAAUUUGAGUAGUGUUUAUAUUACCCAAUAUAUGCAUGUUUACUUCCGUAAUUGUUUCUUGUGAGCAUGUUUUAGCCGGUAUCCAGAAAAUUUUGUUAUAUUUUAUUUUAAUGUAUUAAAAUCUAUCUGAGCAUGUUUUAGCCGGUAUCCAGAAAAUUUAUUUAUACUUAGAAUUCGCUUACCGCCUGGCAAAUCCAUGGUCAGUUUUGUCGCAAUUAUAUUUUUAUCUUACAAGUAUGAUUGCGACAUUGCACCCUUUUCGGGUUUAUCAUCAUUCAUGACUCGAGAGAGAGCUAUAGAUUCAUAAAGUAAAGUUGUUUAUAUAUUUAUGGUUUUGUGUGUGUAUAGUUUGUGGAACCCCGUUAUUGAAGAUUAUCUUUGUGUUUGUAGUGACUCCAUCCAUUUUGUGCAUUUAUAUUUAGUUGUCGAAGUGGCUGUUGUAUGUAUUGUAUUUUUUUAUUAUAGCAAACCAUAUAUAAUAGAUUAAAAUAAAAUAUAAAUAAAUUGCCCAACAUAAAACUUUUUAUGAGCGCUUGGAGUCAAAAGGAGUGCAAAAAAAUGCAUUAUCCUUCAAAUUGAGCAAUCAAAAAUUGCAAAUUCAACCAUAAAAUUGCUUUUAAUUGUAUAAUUAGAGCCAAGGCUAGACUCUACAGCUGUGGUGUAAUUAUAUUAAGUGCUGCUGAUACUUGGAAUAUUCGAAUCCUGUGAAGCCGACACGUAAAUUCUAGAUAAAGAACAAUGCAAGUCUUGUAAGUUGUAAAAGCCUUUUUCAUAAUAUAGCAUUUACCAAUAAGGAGACAUUUAUCGCAAAGCAACAAAUGGCAAGAAUCUACAAAGCCAGAUAAAGGCGAAAUAAUGGAUAUAUAAAGCAACAAUUGAUCCCACAAGAAAAUGUCAACGCAAUUGAAAGGACUUUCAUUCUUGAGAUUAGCAAUGUAGCAGUACCCGAAUUUCUUUGUUCUGUAAAGUUUUCACUUUUCCUGAUUGAUAAUUGGGAGGUGGUGGGGAGGGCUCAUAUUCAUAUAUUCGUAAUUAUAAUACCUAGAACAAAUAAGUUCAAUAAAAACAAAUAAAGUGUAACAAGCAUAUAUGAAUAUUAUCUCUCCCAAUUAGUGAUCUUUCGCCGUUCCUGCUUUUUUAGGAUUUUGUAUUUGCUCACAGAUAAAUACAUACUUGUAAUUCAGGGGUUAGUAAAGACAUUGUAUUGCACAUCGCAAAUCCACUAGCAUAUUUUUAAUUAGCAUUUACUUUCUUAAGUAUCCAAAGAGUAAUCAUGUUGACUCAUGCAUAUUUUUAACGUCGACGUACUUCAAAGGAUGGUAUAAAGAAAGCCGCGACCUCUUUGAAAUUGUUGCUGCUGAAAAUGAAAUAUUUUAAAAGCUGAAUCCUGUUUUCUGACGACACGCGAAAAACAUUAUCAUGUAAAUCAUGAUAAAUGCAGUCAAUCCUGUGUUAAGCAGUCAUCCUCAAUCGAUGAUAUUGGUAUCUCUUGAUUGCUUCGUACAGCUGUUGUAGAAAAUCACAGAUAUAAUAAAAGGCAUGUAAUAAAAUUUAUGAUUUUAACAGCAAUUUAAUUUAAUGCUUGCAUGUGGAAAAUAACCAAUAAAAAACCGAAUAAAACUGAAUUUUUUCUAAGGUUAAUUAAAAA
Molecule: long non-coding RNA, 2105 nt
Organism: Xenia sp. Carnegie-2017
Lineage: Eukaryota; Metazoa; Cnidaria; Anthozoa; Malacalcyonacea; Xeniidae
Exons: 2
Source: RefSeq, a predicted model, not a curated record